Molecule: long non-coding RNA, 519 nt
Organism: Medicago truncatula (barrel medic)
Lineage: Eukaryota; Viridiplantae; Streptophyta; Magnoliopsida; Fabales; Fabaceae
Exons: 2
Source: RefSeq, a predicted model, not a curated record
AUAUCAAAUAAUUUUAGCUUAUUCUUUCUUUUGAUCAAACAAUGACUUAUGUUAAGCUUGCUACUUUGGCUGUUUUCAUGCUCACGCAAUUCUGCUUAAUUGUCCAGAUUAAGAACGUUGAAGCAGGGCAAUGUGCAAGAGUCGGUAUGCGUUGUUCACGGGCAUUGCCGAAUCCAUGCGGCGACAUCGUAACGUGUCGUUGUGUCCAUUUGCAUUUAGUUGGAAGUACCUGCAUUGACUAUACGGGUGAUGGCCUCUAACUCUAAUGAAAAAGACUACUUGAAGAUGGCUUUGGAAAUUGCCACUUAAGAAUCAUGCAUCUUUAUGGCACAGUUUUACUCUCAUCUUUAUACUAAUUUGCAGCAAAAGGGACUGGUACCAGUUUGAGUCAUUAUGUGAUGAAAGUUUCAUUAUGUGAUGAAACACAACAAAUUUCAUAAGGAAAAACUUUAAAAGCACUGUUAUAGUUACUGUGUGCUCUACUCUCUGUGCCUAAUAUUAUACUUGCGUUACAACUAA